RNAcentral lists this ribosomal RNA (467 nucleotides) under uncultured bacterium. RNAcentral describes it as "partial 16S ribosomal RNA". It matches the Rfam family "Bacterial small subunit ribosomal RNA", at positions 28 to 506 of the family's 1533-position model. The record is from RNAcentral.
GACGAACGCUGGCGGCGUGCUUAACACAUGCGAGUCGAACGGUGAAGCUCCAGCUUGCUGGAGUGGAUCAGUGGCGAACGGGUGAGUAACACGUGAGCAACCUGCCCCUGACUCUGGAAUAAGCGCUGGAAACGGCGUCUAAUACUGGAUACGAGAAGGGUCCGCAUGGGCACUUUCUGGAAAGUUUUUCGGUUGGGGAUGGGCUCGCGGCCUAUCAGCUUGUUGGUGAGGUAAUGGCUCACCAAGGCGACGACGGGUAGCCGGCCUGAGAGGGCGACCGGCCACACUGGGACUGAGACACGGCCCAGACUCCUACGGGAGGCAGCAGUGGGGAAUAUUGCACAAUGGGCGAAAGCCUGAUGCAGCGACGCCGCGUGAGGGAUGACGGCCUUCGGGUUGUAAACCUCUUUCAGCAGGGAAGAAGCGAAAGUGACGGUACCUGCAGAAGAAGCACCGGCUAACUACGG